RNAcentral lists this ribosomal RNA (383 nucleotides) under uncultured bacterium. RNAcentral's name for it is "bacterial SSU rRNA". It matches the Rfam family "Bacterial small subunit ribosomal RNA", at positions 30 to 412 of the family's 1533-position model. The record is from RNAcentral.
AUUGAACGCUGGCGGCAUGCCUUACACAUGCAAGUCGAACGGCAGCACGGGAGCAAUCCUGGUGGCGAGUGGCGAACGGGUGAGUAAUAUAUCGGAACGUGCCCAGUCGUGGGGAUAACGUAGCGAAAGCUACGCUAAUACCGCAUACGAUCUAUGGAUGAAAGCGGGGGAUCGCAAGACCUCGCGCGAUUGGAGCGGCCGAUAUCAGAUUAGGUAGUUGGUGAGGUAAAGGCUCACCAAGCCGACGAUCUGUAGCUGGUCUGAGAGGACGACCAGCCACACUGGGACUGAGACACGGCCCAGACUCCUACGGGAGGCAGCAGUGGGGGAAUUUUUGGACAAUGGGCGCAAGCCUGAUCCAGCAAUGCCGCGUGCAGGAUGAA